Non-coding RNA from Elaeis guineensis (African oil palm), 1688 nucleotides. The record is from RefSeq and is a predicted model, not a curated record. Lineage: Eukaryota; Viridiplantae; Streptophyta; Magnoliopsida; Arecales; Arecaceae.
ACCCCAAAUCCCGAAUCAAGUCUCUUCCCAGAAGAAACCCAAAACCCCUCCUCUCCCUCUCUCUCUCUCUCGCGCUCUCUCUGUGUUCGUCUAACCUAAAACCUCGGACGUCCUCCUCUCGCGUUCUUUUUUCUUAAUCAAACAACCGGACAGCGAAUCGCAGCGAUUCCACCCUCUUCUCCCUCUCGUUCCAUCUUUCUCCUUCUGAUCGCCAUUCGAAUCGCCCUGGAGCUUAUGAUCCCCAUCCAGUCCUGAUGCCGGCCGUCGCGAGAGGAGUUCCCCGAAGGGCAUUUAUUGGAAGAUAUACUGCAUUGCUUAAGUCAAAUGUCAAAGGGAGAUGGAAAUCAUUUGCUGCUUCAGUUCCCUCUGGUUCAUAUAAACCACAAAAAGGCCAGAGAAAAUCAAAAGAAGAAAGGCGCACUAUGAUAGAAGCCUUUGUUGACACGUACAAAGCCUCAAAUGCAGGAAAGUUCCCUACUGCUUCUCAUAUCCGCCAAGAGAUUGGUGGGUCUUAUUAUGUUAUAAGAGAGAUCAUUCAGGAAUUGGAAUACAGCCAUAAACUGUCCCUUUCAAACAAGGUUGAGGUAGUUCAAUUGGAAAAAGCAGAAAAGGUCAUUGACCCAAGUUCCGUUGCAAAAGAACAUUUCUUGUCUAAUGAAAAAAAAAUCUUAACCUCUAGGACGACAGCAAAGACAAAAUCCAAUAAGAAAAGCACUAACCAAAUCAUGGUAGAUGAAUGCCCAUCCCUGAAAGAUGAUGAAGCAAACAUGCAUUUGGUAGCAAAUGAAGAUAAAGCCAUUGAGAAGCCUUCCAUUGAAGAACCUGUAAGCCCUGUAGUGAUGGUGGUUGAUCCUUCUCAGGAGAGAUUGCAAGAUAGUGCUCAGGUUUCUAAGAGGGAUCGAAACUCCAGUGCUUCCACUAGCAGCAUUUCUAGUGAGCAACAAGUUGAGAAAUCUUCAGUGUCUUUAAAGUCGGAAACUGAAAUAAACAUCUCACAGUCUGCUUCAGGACAAAUAGAAGGCAAUAGAACAGAUAUAAGCACUACCAAAUUUUCUCGGGACAUGGACAACUUAAAGGGAGUUGGGCAGAUGGGAAAUCAUGAAGCUCCUAAAACAGAGGAACUUCAUCGUGAACAGCCAAGAAGUUCUGAGCAUGGAGAAAAAUCUCCAAAGACAGCAAGCUUUUGGGAGAAUCUGAAAUCUUUAACAGAUGGUAUUAUUAACUUUUGGAAGAAAAUGUAAAUCUCAUCCAUGGUACCCCUUGAUAAAUGAUCUAUCAGGGUUCAUGAGAUGAAAUGUGCCUUCUCACUGCUAAAUGCUUUUGUUGCUUAAUAGCAUGGUGCUGUUGUGAAGGCUGCAAUGUCAACGUUGAUCCAUGCUACACUGAAGUGGUGUAAGUUCCAUAUCUUGGUGAGACCUGAGGUGCUGCCUUUCUAUCCACAAUAUCUCAAUAUAGAACUAUGACUUAGAAGUGUCUGGCAAGUUGUGAUAAUAGUAAAAUGGUGUUGGAUAAUGUUUUACUACAAUGGCUAAAUUUGUGGUUCGUAUCCCAAGAAAAUGUAAUAUUAUCUGUGGAGAGCUGCAUAUUAUGCAAUACAAACUAAGAAUCAUGUAUUACCAAAUUUCUAAUAUAUUUGUGAAAGGCUAAUUGAAUGAUAAUAAUUACCAUUAGGUAUCAGAAUUGAUUUU